This is a long non-coding RNA of Chenopodium quinoa (quinoa), 3605 nucleotides long. RefSeq lists it as uncharacterized. The record is from RefSeq and is a predicted model, not a curated record. Lineage: Eukaryota; Viridiplantae; Streptophyta; Magnoliopsida; Caryophyllales; Amaranthaceae. The transcript is spliced from 8 exons.
AGCAAUUGUGCUCCAAAACUCUUAAAAUUGAUGUGUUGGAGCGAUUGGAAAAGAGUAUUGCAAUAACUCUUUGUAAGCUUGAAAAGGUGUUUGUUCCAUCAUUCUUUGAUAUUAUGGUUCACCUCCCAAUCCACUUGGCUAGUGAGGCCAAGCUUGCUGGGCCAGUGCAAUAUCGAUUUGAAAGGGAAAUGUACACCAUGAAGCUGCCUACUGCAACUAACAAAGCUCAACCAGAAGGCUCUAUUUGCUAAUGCCCGUAUAAUGGAAGAAUGUCUUACCUUCGUCUCUAGAUAUUUAAGUGGUGUUGAGACAUAAUUCAAUCGCAUGAGUAGAAAUGACUUGGGUAAGAAUUAUCAUUCUCCAUUGUUUAAACUAUCAGUUUUUCAAAACAAGGGAAAUCCAUUAGGUAGAAGAACAUUCAAGCAAUUGAGCAUCUUAGUUUGGGAGCAAGCUCAAUUAUAUGUUCUUAUGAAUUGUCCAGAAGUACAACCAUUUGUGGAAGAGUAUGCCUCUAUUUGUGGGCCAAAACCAAGUGUAGUUGAUUGGUUUCAAUCACGAAUAUGGAAUCUUCAUAUGGAAGGAGAUCCAAGAGUAACAACCGAGUAUCAUUGUCACGAGGUCCGAGUAAAAGUGUUAGAAGCUAUCAAGGAUACUAUAUAAAUGGGCAUCGUUUCCACACUAAAAAACGUCAAAGAAGGCGAAAGACACAAAAUAGUGGAAUAGUUGUUAAAGGAGAUGAAGAGAGUGGAUAAAGAGACUUUUGGGGGUUUUAAAAGAAGUCAUAGAAUUGGAGUAUGAUGUUCCAAAUGGUGCGGAUAAGUAACCAAUCGUGGUGUUAUUUAGAUGUGUUUGGUUCGAUAUUUAUACGGAGAGGCGAGGGAUAAAAAGGGACAAGUUUGGCACAAUUAGUGUCAACACUAAAAGGUUUUUACAAACCAAUGAGCCAUUUUCUAUGGCAUCCCAGGUUGGACAAGUCUAUUACGUGAGGGCACAUAAUGAGCCAAAUUGGAGAAUCGUUAUUAAGACAAUUCCUCGUAACUUCUACAAUUUUCCAAUUGUUGAUGAUAGUGGUUGCGAUGAUGAGAAUGAUGAUGUUGAAUUAGGAAUACCUAACUCAAUAGUGAAUGAUGUAGAUGAUGAGAUUUUACCAAGAAAUGAUGUCCCUCCUAUGUUAGUGAACUCAAUUGAUUUUGAGUCAAAGGAGAAUGGGAUUUUGGAAGAAGAAGAACUCGAAGAAGAAGAAGAUGAUGAUGUGGACUCGGGCAGCGACUAAACUUGUUGCUAUUCCAUCUUUUGUCUUUUUUUUUUUUUAAUCUCAAACUUACGUAAAAUGUGCUACUUUUAUACAUGGAUCAGAACUUUUAUUUCUGUUUUACUUUCUGUUUUCUAUUUAUAUUUCUGUUUUUAUUUUCUGUUUUCUGUUUAUAUUUUCUAUUUAUUUUUUGUUUUCUAUUUAUGGAUUUAAACCAGAUUUUGUUUGGUAUAGAAAGAAGAACAAUGAAUCUGGAGACUCAAUCAUCGUUAUUGCAAUUAGGAUCGACCUCUCAACCUAAUAGAAGAAAAGGUCCCUUUCGUGGUCCAAGUAGAGCACUCAAGUAUAAAAAGUUGCGAAGCAUUCAACCCGGAAAGCUCAAGGUUAGUAUUCCUCCAGUAUUAGGAGCUGUUGUGGGUGAGCGUGCAAAUCAGUUUGUUGUUUAGUGUGCUUAUUGGGUGAAGGAGAUCUGCCCCCUUGAUGUUCUUAAAUGGAGUGAUAUGCCUGACGGGAUUGUAGAUCAAUUAUAUGCAAGGAUUAAGUCAAAGUACGAAUUGGGUGAAGGAGCACACAUUCGUAAAGCAAUAAAGAUCCAAUGCUCCACCCUUUAUAGGCAUUGGAGAGAAAGGUUGAAGGCUGACUAUUUUUCAACUAGAAAAUCUUUAUUAAUGGAAGUGGCUUGUUUAUAACUAUUGGAGCUCUCCUAAACAGAAGGAAAGGAGUGAGAAGAAUCGAGCAAAUGCUCUUGCAAAGAAGAUCAAGUCAGCAUGUGGUGCAAAAUCAACAGCUCGCAUAAUUUAUGAAUUGAUGAGUAUAAUCUAUCUUUGUCUUAGUUGUUUACUGUCUUCAUGAGCUGUGACUGUAUACAACAGAGUAAAAAUAGUUUUCUUGAUUCACUUGUGAUUUUGCUAUAUUCAAUUUCGGAUAUCUAGGUUAAAUCUUAAGGAGUAAUUUUUUUUUUAUUAAAUAUGGAGCAUCAUUAUUGUUUUAAGUUGAAGAGAGCGUGGCCUAUUUCUUAAAGCUUCAUAUAUGUGCAUUACUACAUUAUAUGCCUUAUAGAAUUUAUCAUAAUUAGCUAGCUGAUUACUAGAAACCAUGUAACAAUGAACAUCCUAGUAGCUCAGCAAUGUGAGCCUCAUUUAAUUACAGAAUAGUGGAAUGGCUUUUAGUGGCCAAAGAUUACUGCCUCAUAUUAUUCUGUAUGAUCUGCUUGAUGCAGAUUUACAUCAUCCCUCAUUCAUUAAUGAAAACUCAACAUGGUCUAAUGAUACUACGCGUUAGAUUUGAAUGCAUUAAAAUAAUUGUUUUCCUAGCGUAUUCAACAUCUGUAGUUUUUCGUUUUAAGUAACUUAUCUGGAAACUUGAUUCUGUUCUGUUUUAGUGCUCCUGUGGUCAUGUCCUGUUGUAUUCGUCGUAUUAUAAAUUCUGCAUUGUUGAAAUGUGGAUCUGAUCCUCUUGUUAUUAAAAAAAAAGAAAUAUGCAUUGUUGAAUUACUAUAUGGUUUUGAAAUACUUUCCUAAAUGGAUUGAUCUUGCUGAAACUAAUAAGUGUAUGUAUAUGAUUUGAUAGGAACUUGAGGCACAAGCUUGUGAACAUGAGAAUGAGUUCACCGAAAUCAAUGGUUCUAGUUCAAAUGUAACCACCUCAUCCCUAGCUAAUGAUGAUCCCAUGUAUUUAAAGUUAUGGGAGAAGUCAAAGAGGCAUAAAAAUGGGAAGUUUGACAAUGAGGCCGAGGAGAAGUUCAAGGAAUUAAGAGAGUUGCAUGAGAAGGAAAUUAGUGAAAAGAGAGUUGAUAAUCUUACUCUUGAAGAAGCUUAUGUGAAGGUUCUUGGACAUCGUCCAGGUUAUGCCCGAGGUUUAGGCAAAGGGCACCUGGUGUCGUCUAAAGAUCGAAAGAUCGGAAGAGCUGAGCUGAAACAAAAUGUUGAAAAACUACAAAAUGAAAAUAAUAUUAUGCGAGCUGAAUUGGAAGCGUCUAAGAAGAAACAAGAAGACCCAGAACAAAAGCUUCGGUUAAUCAUGGAGAAGAUUGGCCUUGAUGCUUGAUAGAGUUUGCAGUUAGGAAAUCAAGUCAAUGUUUUGGGGAUGGAGGACACCAAAAGGCUGGUUGCAAGGAUGAGAAGAUUGCUUGAUAUACAACUUGGUUAAUACUUUUGUAUAUGUUUGCUAUUAAAUAUUAUUAAAUAUUUGCUAUUAUAGAAAACUUGGUUAAUACUUAUAUAUAAUAACAAAAUUAAAAUUUAUGCAUAUUAGCACCUAGAAUUAUUUUUUUUUAAAAAAAACAAAAAAUUGAUUAAAGAGGGCGACUUUGAUUUUGCCCUUUAAAAUUUGAUCAAACAGGGCGAAUUUUGAG